AGGCGCUGUCAGGCAUGUUGCUUCUAGUCAAUAAUGCUACGUGCAUCAAGAAAUAGGGAAGAAAGUGACUCUGGCCUAUACCAAAUGAUACAACCAUAAACCAACACUGAAUGGAAAGCGUGUCAGCAUCUAAGCUCUGCUAGAAGGACAAGUCUGCAAACUGUCAAAAAAGUCUGCUAUAAAAAUCGAAACACAUAUAUAUGCACAAAUUUCAAAACUGGAGAAAGCAGGAAUUCUUGGACCAGGAUUAUAGCUUCAUGACCAGGGGAAGUAAAAAUACGAAAGCCCAGGGGAAAAAGUGGGGAAAAGUUUGCGAUUUUCUGAGUUUCUUUAUGUUUUUUUUUUUAAUAUUGGGGACACUAAUUACAGAAUUUUCUUUUUUGUGGAAUGCUGGAGGAAAUGUUAGGAUAAGAAUUAUAUAUUUCACCACACCUACUAUCCAAAUUUAAUUCUGAAGCUUAUGUAAUAUGAAAACUUCUACGUAGGAUGAUAUGCAAUAUCUCACAUCAUUGCAUUUUUUGGGUUUCCCCUCUUUUUUAUGGGAACGAAUUCGCUGUGUCUGCUUGACAUGAAGGAGGACUAGAGGAUACAAAACAAUUUUGUUUGUUUUGCUAAUGGGAGUUUUUUUCUAUUUUAUUACUUUGGUUUGGAUUUUUAUCACCUCCGCAUAAACCAGUAAAAAAAAAUAAUGAGAUUUUUAAUUAUUUCAGAGGUUCCUUACAAUACAGAACCAUGUACUCCAUUUGAGAGGAGGGGAGAUGGAAAAUAUAUUCAAUUUUCAAUUUUUCCUGGGAAACAGUCUACACUUUUAAUAUAUCAAACAUAUUAUUUUUAUAUAAGUGAAAUUAUCCAUAAUGCAUUCUAUGCAAGGCUACUUUCAAUGGGUUAAGGAAUAAUCUAUUUUUUCCCAUUUCUGUACAAGAAUGCUCAUUUUUCUCUUUAAAAACAGGAAAACAUGCUCCCAUACAAACAAAGAGAUUCAACAUUUCCCCAAAUUUUACAAAUAGUAGGUCCUCUAGGUGUGGUCUGCCACUCCCUUGUCUGUCAACUUAGGGGCUGGGGAAAGGUAAAUGGCUACAGGAUAUUCCUCUAUCCCGUGUUCCUGCUAGUUGAGCUUUUCUAUUUUUCUACCCUUUUGCCUUUUUGGAUAAGGAAGGGUCAGGAUCCGAUGGAAGCUCCGUGGGAGAGACGAGCUCCUCUCCAUCCGAGAAGAUUGCAGAGUGGUCUUCUGCAUCCUCGGGAUCGAUAUCCGCCCCUCUCAGUCAAGAUGGCAGCAGAAGCUGAAACGGGAGGAGGAGGGGCAUACUUAUAGUGCCCAUAAUCAUAAAAAUAAGCUGGAGGGAUCCAGGGCUUGCAAAGUAGCCUGAGAAACCGAUGGGCUUCGGCACCAGGAGGUCCAUGAAGAGAUCGAAGGAGUAAGAGAAGGGGCUUCUGCCCCUAUCUCCACUUGGACCUCAAGCUCUGCUGUUGCUGGGGAGGCUUGGAUCAAUGUUGGCAGGCUCCUCCGGAGGAGGGAGCAGCACCACGGUCUAAAAGAGUAGUCAAGAUCAUUCCUAAAGCUGCUGCUGGAGCAUGGAAAAAGGAACUAAGCAAAUGUUAUAAAGUACCAUAUCAGCUUUGGGAGAAUUUCAGCAUAAAAAUGUCUACUUCAUCUCUAGUGGCGCAAUGGGUUAAACCCUUGUGCCUGCAGGACUGCUGAUCGACAGGCCAGCAAUUUGAAUCUGGGCAGAGCGGGUGAGCUCCCUCUGUCAGCUGGACAUGAGAGAAGGAUGGUAAAAUAUCAAACAUCGGACGUCCCCUGGGCAAUGUCCUUGCAGAUGGCCAAUUCUCUGACACCAGAAGUGACUUGCAGUUUCUCAGGUCACUCCUGACACACAAAAAACU
This is a long non-coding RNA of Anolis carolinensis (green anole), 1884 nucleotides long. RefSeq lists it as uncharacterized. The transcript is spliced from 4 exons. NCBI's taxonomy places the organism in Eukaryota, Metazoa, Chordata, Lepidosauria, Squamata, Anolidae. The record is from RefSeq and is a predicted model, not a curated record.